UCAUCUUCUUUAUUUAUGUUUAAAUAAAUGUACUUCGAUUUGAUGUAAGCAUAUAUACUUUUCUUUUGUUGCUAUCAUUUUAGAUGACAAAUCUUGUAACCUGGCCAAAAUUAUGCAAAAUUUAAGAUAUGAUUUUAUCAGCAAAGUGAUUAAUCAAUAAUUAGUGUCUAAUGAAUAAUUAUAAAAAAAUUAAGAAAAAAAUUUAUAAUUUAAGAAAUAUAUUGA
This 225-nucleotide long non-coding RNA is filed under the name Elaeis guineensis (African oil palm). RNAcentral describes it as "long non-coding RNA (EGUI_LNC032666)". Lineage: Eukaryota; Viridiplantae; Streptophyta; Magnoliopsida; Arecales; Arecaceae. The record is from RNAcentral.